AAGAGUUAGGGUCCUCUGGGCCCGACCUCCCAACCCUUUGUUUACUGAACCUCUGUUGCUUCGGCGGACCCGCCUCACGGCCGCCGGAGGAUCGCCCCCAGGCGUCCUCUGGCCAGCGUCCGCCGACAGCCACUCUCAAAACUCUUGAAUAAAUCAUGUCAUUGUCUAAGUUAUGAUGUAAUCAAUAAAGCA
Molecule: unclassified non-coding RNA, 192 nt
Filed under: soil metagenome
Description: partial internal transcribed spacer 1
Source: RNAcentral